GUGUCAGCAGCCGCGGUAAUACGUAGGGGCCGAGCGUUGUCCGGAAUUACUGGGCGUAAAGCGCGCGCAGGCGGCGCUCCAAGCCCGACGUGAAAGCCCCCGGCUCAACCGGGGAGGGUCGUCGGGGACUGGGGCGCUUGAGGGCGGUAGGGGCCGGUGGAAUUCCCGGUGUAGUGGUGAAAUGCGUAGAGAUCGGGAGGAACACCAGUAGCGAAGGCGGCCGGCUGGGCCGACCCUGACGCUGAGGCGCGAAGGCGUGGGGAGCGAACGGGAUUAGAUACCCCCGUAGUCC
RNAcentral lists this ribosomal RNA (292 nucleotides) under uncultured bacterium. Its description in RNAcentral is "partial 16S ribosomal RNA". It matches the Rfam family "Bacterial small subunit ribosomal RNA", at positions 505 to 796 of the family's 1533-position model. The record is from RNAcentral.